This 483-nucleotide ribosomal RNA is filed under the name uncultured bacterium. Its description in RNAcentral is "partial 16S ribosomal RNA". It matches the Rfam family "Bacterial small subunit ribosomal RNA", at positions 30 to 507 of the family's 1533-position model. The record is from RNAcentral.
UUGAACGCUGGCGGCAGGCUUCACACAUGCAAGUCGAGCGGAUGAAGGGAGCUUGCUCCUGGAUUCAGCGGCGGACGGGUGAGUAAUGCCUAGGAAUCUGCCUGGUAGUGGGGGAUAACGUCCGGAAACGGGCGCUAAUACCGCAUACGUCCUGAGGGAGAAAGUGGGGGAUCUUCGGACCUCACGCUAUCAGAUGAGCCUAGGUCGGAUUAGCUAGUUGGUGGGGUAAAGGCCUACCAAGGCGACGAUCCGUAACUGGUCUGAGAGGAUGAUCAGUCACACUGGAACUGAGACACGGUCCAGACUCCUACGGGAGGCAGCAGUGGGGAAUAUUGGACAGUGGGCGAAAGCCUGAUCCAGCCAUGCCGCGUGUGUGAAGAAGGUCUUCGGAUUGUAAAGCACUUUAAGUUGGGAGGAAGGGCAGUAAGUUAAUACCUUGCUGUUUUGACGUUACCAACAGAAUAAGCACCGGCUAACUUCGUG